Molecule: long non-coding RNA, 711 nt
Organism: Neofelis nebulosa (Clouded leopard)
Lineage: Eukaryota; Metazoa; Chordata; Mammalia; Carnivora; Felidae
Exons: 4
Source: RefSeq, a predicted model, not a curated record
CCCGCCCCCAAGGACAUAAUAAUAAAAUGAGGCAAUGUGUCAAAAGGAUCUUACAUAAUGGGUCCUGAUUGCUUUGCCCCACAGGCUGCCUGCCCAUUAGGUGUGAUUCAUGAACUGCAAGACCACUGGAGGAAAGCAGUUCCUGCCAGAAUACUCUACAGUUGAGCUGAACCACAGGCAAACUACCAGAACCAGAAGUCCGCAAUGCUCAUUUGCAUAGUAAAGAGCUAUGUUGGGGUAUACCAUUGAUGGCCAGCAGUACGUCUAUUAAUUCUCAACAACCAUUGAGAGGCAUCGAAUGAUCGUGGAUGUCUAACAAGGUCCUGGAACAAAGUUCCGAAUAUUAUGGAUCCUCGUGUUAAUCCUAAUUAGAGCCCUCCUAUGAAUCCUGUGUUCCAGUUUUGUAUGUUUCUUUACAUCCCUCUAAGAGGAAAGUGGUUACAGAUGUACCCUUUACAACAGAAGUCAGUGCACUGUGGCUCACCGGUUAAAAAUGAACCACCACCUGUGUUCACAUGGCCCUCAAAGGUAAGAAUGGUUCUUAGCUUUAAAAUUAUUUAACUAUAAAACUAUAAAAACAUUCAGAUUUCAGUGUCCAUAAAUAAACUUUUGUGGGAACACAGCCAAGCUCAUUUAUUUACACUUUGUCUACACUGCUUUGAUGCUACAGUAGCAAUGUUGCGUAGUCGUGACAGAAAUUAGAUGGCCCGA